RNAcentral lists this ribosomal RNA (751 nucleotides) under uncultured bacterium. Its description in RNAcentral is "bacterial SSU rRNA". The stretch from base 1 to 454 matches the Rfam family "Bacterial small subunit ribosomal RNA", at positions 1084 to 1533 of the family's 1533-position model. The record is from RNAcentral.
UAGCCGCAACGAGCGCAACCCCUGUGCUCUAGUUGCCAGCGCGUGCAUGGCGGGGACUCUAGAGAGACUGCCGGUGCCAAACCGGAGGAAGGUGGGGAUGACGUCAAGUCAUCAUGGUCCUUACGUCUAGGGCUACACACGUGCUACAAUGGCGGGGACAGAGGGCUGCGAGCCGGCAACGGCAAGCCAAUCCCGUAAACCCCGCCUCAGUUCGGAUUGUCGUCCGCAACCCGACGGCAUGAAGCUGGAAUCGCUAAUAAUCGUGGAUCAGCUACGCCACGGUGAAUACGUACCGGGCCUUGUACACACCGCCCGUCACGCCAUGGAAGCUGUGAGCGCCCGAAGUCCGUGUCGCAACCAGCAAAGGGGCAAGCGGCCGAAGGCGAGCGCAGUGACUGUGGCGAAGUCGUAUCAACGUAGCCGUACGGGAACCUGCGGCUGGAUCACCUCCUUAACGGAUCACGAGUAGCGCANNCCGGGUCACGCCGGGCGUACAUGACAGCAUCACGUAGUCGGUUCGCGUUCGACACAUNGCUGUGCCAUUCCCACUCGUCGANUCGGAUCGGACGCCCCUUUUGGGCGUCCACCGCCCCCAUUGGCAUGGGGGUUUCAGUUUCCGCCCUGGGAUCUUUGGGACCGAAAACCCGUGGAAUUUGCUUAUUUGGGCUACCGAAGUUCAGUUCGGGGAAAUUCGAACCGAAAGUCCGGUAGGCAGNAGAACUGNACNUUUUUUCGACACGGAUAAAACGUU